CGGCUGUCUUCUGCAGCUUGCGGGGCC
Molecule: non-coding RNA, 27 nt
Filed under: Homo sapiens (human)
Lineage: Eukaryota; Metazoa; Chordata; Mammalia; Primates; Hominidae
Source: RNAcentral